GAAAAUCAAAUCAUUCGCCGAAGCGACGGAUAGAGGACGACACGAAGCGGUAGUGCUCACGACUUACUCCAAUGGCGGCGAUUUCCACCUUCAUUGCCCUAAUUUGACGAAAUUCUCCAGGAUUUGUUUCGCCUCUUUCUCUGCAUCGCCCCGGCGGCGGCAAUGUGCGCUUGGGGCGAUGCGUUUCUUCCUCACCGUCAUGAUCUCUGCCUCCUCCUCUCACCGCCCUCGCCUUCUUCGACGCUGCCGUCUUAGCCGCUUCGCCACCGCCUUCGUCGCCACUGCUGCUCUCCUUCUCGCCUCCGCCGCCUGGCUCUCCCUCGUCUUCUCCUCCACCAGUUCCCGUUGCUGGCGUCGCCUUAGGGAUUGGGAAGAUACCCAUCUCUGGAAUCGACGCUUCCAUCAUCCUUCUCCGUUUAUCUCCUCCGAGAAACCUCCUCCUCGUCCGCCUCCUCCGCCGUCUCUUCCCUCUCACUCCUUACUGGAUCAUGACGAGGGUCUCCACCCUCGGAAUCGUUCUCUCUGGGAGACAGGGGGACGGGAUCUGUCUCUUCGACACAUCGUGUUCGGUAUUGCGGGAUCGUCCCAGCUCUGGGGACGUCGCAAGGAGUUAGUGAGGCUGUGGUGGCGACCUACGCGGAUGCGUGGUCACGUUUGGCUUGAAGAGCAGGUUCCUCCUGGGGAAAGCGACGAUUCUCUUCCAGCAAUCAUCAUCUCCGAGGACUCUUCUCGCUUCCGUUACACCAAUCCCACCGGUCAUCCUUCUGGGCUUCGAAUCUCCCGCAUUGCCAUGGAGUCUUUCCGCCUAAAUCUUCCGGAUGUCCAAUGGUUUGUCCUCGGAGACGACGACACCAUCUUCAACACUGACAAUCUCGUCGCUGUACUCAGCAAGUACGAUCCCUCGGAGAUGGUCUAUGUCGGAAGCCCGUCGGAAUCUCACUCGGCUAACUCUUACUUCAGUCACAAUAUGGCCUUUGGUGGUGGGGGCAUUGCCAUUAGCUAUCCCUUGGCUGAUGCCCUCUCUCGUAUUCACGACGAUUGUAUCGAGAGGUAUCCCAAACUCUACGGCAGCGAUGAUCGUCUCCACGCCUGCAUCACUGAACUCGGAGUCCCUUUGUCCAAAGAACCCGGCUUUCACCAGUGGGAUAUUAAGGGCAAUGCUCACGGUCUCUUGUCCACUCAUCCUGUGGCGCCAUUCAUCUCCAUUCAUCAUGUCGAAGCUGUUAAUCCACUCUAUCCCGGGUUAUCAACUUUGGACAGUUUGAAACUUUUCACAAGAGCCAUGGCUUUGGAUCCAAAGAGUAUUUUGCAGCGAUCCAUUUGCUAUGAUCAUACUCGCCGCCUCACUUUUUCGGUCUCUCUCGGUUACGUUGUACAAGUUUUUCCAAAUAUACUCCUUCCCCGGGAGCUGGAGCGAGCUGAAGCUACCUUCUCUGCGUGGAACGGCAUAAGCCAUCCGAAUGAGUUUGAUCUUGACAUGAGGAUGCCUGUUUCGUCUAUCUGUAAGAGGCCUCUCCUCUUCUUCCUAAAAGAGGUAGGACGAGAAGGGAAUGCUACAACGGGAACCUAUUCGAGAGUAUCGAUGAAGGACGAUUUGAAGAGGAGACUUCUAUGCUUUCCUCGUGCUCGUUCUCUGCCAAAGGUGGAGAAAAUCCAGGUUCUGGGGUAUCCUCUCAAGAAGAACUGGCAUUUGGCACCCCGAAGGUUGUGUUGCAGACCAGUCCAAGCUACUAAUGAAUCUCUCAGUUUAGCAGUUGGACAGUGCGGAAAGAGAAUUUUGGGCUCCAUGACUAGUUAUCUCUGACCAAUGAACAUAUUGGAUUGAUACUGGAUCUGGGCAGUGGGCACAUUCGGUUCCUCUCCUGUGCUCGGGUUAAUGCAGGGAGAUAAGAUGGUUACAACUUGAGAGACUAUGGCCAUGUUUUUUGCUUGGCUUUGUAGUUUUACAUGGACCGAGAUAUGGAUGAUGAUGAUGAUGAUGAUAAGAAGAAGAAGAAGAAGAAAAAAGGAGAUUCCUUUUGUGUUCUGUGAAGUGAGGGGGGUACAACUGCAAGUGUACUUUUUUAGCUUUGACUUGAUGGGGUUAGGGGUCCAUUUGGUGUCAGAUUGAAAUCUCUGGAGAGGGAAGUGGUCUGGACGUUGUGUUUGAUUGAUUCACUGACAAACUACAAACAACAGCAACUCCUCCUCGUAUAGGGGCUCUGUUUUUGUUCCUUC
RNA transcript from Tarenaya hassleriana, 2217 nucleotides. RefSeq lists it as uncharacterized. The record is from RefSeq and is a predicted model, not a curated record. The transcript has 4 exons. NCBI's taxonomy places the organism in Eukaryota, Viridiplantae, Streptophyta, Magnoliopsida, Brassicales, Cleomaceae.